GAUGAACGCUGGCGGCGUGCCUAAUACAUGCAAGUCGAGCGAACAGACGAUGAGCUUGCUCCUCUGACGUUAGCGGCGGACGGGUGAGUAACACGUGGAUAACCUACCUAUAAGACGUGGAUAACUUCGGGAAACCGGAGCUAAUACCGGAUAAUAUAUUGAACCGCAUGGUUCAAUAGUGAAAGACGGUUUUGCUGUCACUUAUAGAUGUAUCCGCGCCGCAUUAGCUAGUUGGUAAGGUAACGGCUUACCAAGGCGACGAUGCGUAGCCGACCUGAGAGGGUGAUCGGCCACACUGGAACUGAGACACGGUCCAGACUCCUACGGGAGGCAGCAGUAGGGAAUCUUCCGCAAUGGGCGAAAGCCUGACGGAGCAACGCCGCGUGAGUGAUGAAGGUCUUCGGAUCGUAAAACUCUGUUAUUAGGGAAGAACAAAUGUGUAAGUAACUAUGCACGUCUUGACGGUACCUAAUCAGAAAGCCACGGCUAACUACGUG
Molecule: ribosomal RNA, 497 nt
Filed under: uncultured bacterium
Lineage: Bacteria
Description: partial 16S ribosomal RNA
Rfam family: Bacterial small subunit ribosomal RNA
Source: RNAcentral